AAGGCGGCGACGGGUAGCCGGCCUGAGAGGGUGUACGGCCACAUUGGGACUGAGAUACGGCCCAGACUCCUACGGGAGGCAGCAGUGGGGAAUAUUGCACAAUGGGCGCAAGCCUGAUGCAGCGACGCCGCGUGGGGGAUGAAGGCCUUCGGGUUGUAAACUCCUUUCGCUAGGGACGAAGCUUUGUGUGACGGUACCUAGAUAAGAAGCACCGGCUAACUACGUGCCAGCAGCCGCGGUAAUACGUAGGGUGCGAGCGUUGUCCGGAAUUACUGGGCGUAAAGAGCUCGUAGGUGGUUUGUCGCGUCGUCUGUGAAAUUCUGGGGCUUAACUCCGGGCGUGCAGGCGAUACGGGCAUAACUCGAGUGCUGUAGGGGUAACUGGAAUUCCUGGUGUAGCGGUGAAAUGCGCAGAUAUCAGGAGGAACACCGAUGGCGGAGGCAGGUUACUGGGCAGUUACUGACGCUGAGGAGCGAAAGC
RNAcentral lists this ribosomal RNA (480 nucleotides) under uncultured Actinomycetales bacterium. Its description in RNAcentral is "bacterial SSU rRNA". It matches the Rfam family "Bacterial small subunit ribosomal RNA", at positions 270 to 760 of the family's 1533-position model. The record is from RNAcentral. Lineage: Bacteria; Bacillati; Actinomycetota; Actinomycetes; Actinomycetales.